GAUGAAGAACGUAGCGAAAUGCGAUAAGUAAUGUGAAUUGCAGAAUUCAGUGAAUCAUCGAAUCUUUGAACGCACCUUGCGCCCUUUGGCCAUUCCGAAGGGCAUGCCUGUUUGAGUAUCAUGAACACCUCAACUCUUUAUGGUUUUCCAUGAUGAGCUUGGACUCUGGGGGUUUUGCUGGCUCACAGUCAGCUCCUCUAAAAUGAAUCAGCUUACCAGUGUUUGGUGGGUAUCAUGGGUGUGAUAACUAUCUACGCUUGUGGUUUUCCACCAGGUAACCUUCAGUGAUGAAGGUUCGCUGGGGCUCAUAAACGUCUCUCCUCAGUGAGGACAGCUCUUUGAACGUUUGAUCUCAAAUCAGGUAGGACUACCCGCUGAACUUAAGCAUAUCAAUAAGCGGAGGA
This 404-nucleotide unclassified non-coding RNA is filed under the name soil metagenome. RNAcentral describes it as "partial contains 5.8S ribosomal RNA, internal transcribed spacer 2, and large subunit ribosomal RNA". The stretch from base 1 to 121 matches the Rfam family "5.8S ribosomal RNA", at positions 35 to 154 of the family's 154-position model. The record is from RNAcentral.